This 253-nucleotide ribosomal RNA is filed under the name uncultured bacterium. RNAcentral describes it as "partial 16S ribosomal RNA". It matches the Rfam family "Bacterial small subunit ribosomal RNA", at positions 524 to 776 of the family's 1533-position model. The record is from RNAcentral.
UACGAAGGGGGCUAGCGUUGCUCGGAAUCACUGGGCGUAAAGGGUGCGUAGGCGGGUCUUUAAGUCAAGGGUGAAAUCCUGGAGCUCAACUCCAGAACUGCCUUUGAUACUGAGGAUCUUGAGUUCGGGAGAGGUGAGUGGAACUGCGAGUGUAGAGGUGAAAUUCGUAGAUAUUCGCAAGAACACCAGUGGCGAAGGCGGCUCACUGGCCCGAUACUGACGCUGAGGCACGAAAGCGUGGGGAGCAAACAGG